AGCUUCGUAGCUCAGCUGGUAGAGCGCUUGCCGCGUAGAGGCAUGGUGCUUCUGUCGCUGGUUUGAAUCCAGCCGAAGCCC
RNAcentral lists this transfer RNA (81 nucleotides) under Paragonimus heterotremus. It matches the Rfam family "tRNA". From Rfam's summary of the family: Transfer RNA (tRNA) molecules are approximately 80 nucleotides in length. Their secondary structure includes four short double-helical elements and three loops (D, anti-codon, and T loops). Further hydrogen bonds mediate the characteristic L-shaped molecular structure. tRNAs have two regions of fundamental functional importance: the anti-codon, which is responsible for specific mRNA codon recognition, and the 3' end, to which the tRNAs corresponding amino acid is attached (by aminoacyl-tRNA synthetases). tRNAs cope with the degeneracy of the genetic code in two manners: having more than one tRNA (with a specific anti-codon) for a particular amino acid; and 'wobble' base-pairing, i.e. permitting non-standard base-pairing at the 3rd anti-codon position. Lineage: Eukaryota; Metazoa; Platyhelminthes; Trematoda; Plagiorchiida; Troglotrematidae. The record is from Rfam by way of RNAcentral.